CAAAACUAUAUUUAUUGUGUUCGUUCGCCGUGAAUAUCCGUCAAUUUGUAAAGAACGCGUCGCUUGUGUUUCAUCCGUCAAAACCUCCGCGGUUCGUUUUCAUGUUCUUUUCUACUGCGUAUCCCCGCGGUAGGUAUUUAUGGUCGCGAAACGUUUUAAAUCGAAAUUUAAUAUAAGAUUCUGUCGUUUUAUUCCCGGGAUUCCAUG
Molecule: non-coding RNA, 207 nt
Organism: Cinara cedri
Lineage: Eukaryota; Metazoa; Arthropoda; Insecta; Hemiptera; Aphididae
Source: the annotation of a GenBank genome assembly